AUUCUACUGACUCCAAGUUCACGCAGCUGUUCAUCCCCUGCUUAAUGUACCGGUGAGUUCCUUGAAGCCCUGAACCGAGGACUUCUUGUGUACUUUAACGUUUGUUAUAUCUGAAGAUAUUCUGAUUGGCAACAUUUUUAACAUAGAGAACUGUUUAAAGAAAAUACCACCAGCACACAACUCAUCCACAAAAUGCUGUUUUUGAAAAAGAUGGAGAGGCUGUGACUGAGAUCAUCAGAGAACCAGCCCGGCACCCCAAACAUAAUAGGGCAAAGGAGUCAGAUGAGAAUUUUGUUCAGUAUGAGACACUGGACAACAAGACAGGACCCUUGACCUCAGAAAUGCAGGAAUUCAAGAAUAUUAUAGAACAUGAAGUAGCAGAGCCAUGGAGGAGAAUUUAUAGCACUAAUCUUGAGCACUUUCCCCCGAGGACUCUGCGCUGUUUUCACAAAGGCCUCUCGGAAUGCCAGGCUGUGAAAGGUAGAAAUGUAAACACGGGGACAGGAGUGUCCUUCAGUCUAAAGAGGAGCCACGCAGGUUUCUAGUUGCCAGCAUUCCAGUAGUGGCACUGGGAAAUGGUUUUAUAGGAUAAACAAAUCACCCAAAUGCAGAAAAUGCAAUUCCACUGAAGCAAAUCCAACUUCCUUUCCUGACAGAGAAUGUAAUUAAAUCCUGCUUCAGGAGGACGGUUUAUAUCCUCUGCUGCUGGGGGUCUCGGCUCAUGCUCAUCGCUGGUGUUUACAAGAUGACAUUACCUGCCUCCUGUGACAUGCUGAGGCAGCCCUGACUUUGAAGAUGGGGUGGUGGUGCAUGCGAGGGAAGGGGGAUGAGUGAGGCUGUGUUUCAUUUGCAGAGCUUGGCUGUUCAUCUCUCACAUUCACAUCUGACACCAGAAGCCCACACCAUGCUUGGCUUUUCCAAAACAGUGAUUCUAAUGUAACAUCCUAAUAAGCUGUGUUAACUCACCUUUCAGAAGGAGGCUGGGGGGACAUACAUCACAACAAGUUGAGAGGAAGGGGUGAUUGUAACAAUAUUAAAUAUAAUUAUCACCAGCAGAAGUUCUAUGAGAUGAAGUGACUGAAUCACAGCUCAUGAUGUCUUCAAAAUACAAUUAAAAGUGCAAUUUUACUAUA
This 1133-nucleotide long non-coding RNA is filed under the name Pan troglodytes (chimpanzee). Its description in RNAcentral is "lincRNA". Lineage: Eukaryota; Metazoa; Chordata; Mammalia; Primates; Hominidae. The record is from RNAcentral.